GAUGAAGAACGUAGUGAAAUGCGAUAAGUAAUGCGAAUUGCAGAAUUCCAGUGAGUCAUCGAAUCUUUGAACGCACAUUGCGCCCUUUGGUAUUCCGAAGGGCAUGCCUGUUCGAGCGUCAUUAUCACCCCUCAAGCCCUCGGCUUGGUGUUGGACGGUUUGGUGGAGGCCCCCUCGGGGGCUCCUGCCCCUCCCAAAGACAAUGACGGCGGCCUCGUUGGACCCCCGGUACACUGAGUUCUUCACGGGACACGUAUCGGACACAUGGGUUUACGGGACACGGUCUGCCUCCCCUCAGGGAGAAUCUUUCUAAGGUUGACCUCGGAUCAGGUAGGGAUACCCGCUGAACUUAAGCAUAUCAAUAAGCGGAGGA
RNAcentral lists this unclassified non-coding RNA (373 nucleotides) under soil metagenome. Its description in RNAcentral is "partial contains 5.8S ribosomal RNA, internal transcribed spacer 2, and large subunit ribosomal RNA". The stretch from base 1 to 121 matches the Rfam family "5.8S ribosomal RNA", at positions 35 to 154 of the family's 154-position model. The record is from RNAcentral.